This 1638-nucleotide small RNA is filed under the name Pongo abelii (Sumatran orangutan). Its description in RNAcentral is "processed transcript". The record is from RNAcentral. Lineage: Eukaryota; Metazoa; Chordata; Mammalia; Primates; Hominidae.
AAAAGAGGCUGCGGAUUCUUGGUGGACAGCUCUCAUAUCCCCUCCAGGGAAAAUGAUGAAAAAUGUCUUCAGAAAAAUAGCUUUAUGAAGGCAAGAGGAAUUUUUGCACCUGAAAGACAUGUCUGAAAGCUCCUCAGGUCAAAACACAAGUAGUCAAGAGAUUUGUCCAUCUAAUUCACCAUACUACUCUGAUCCAAGUGAGACCCACACUGGGUCAGCUCCAUCAAGGAGAAGAACAUUCCACCCACGUUUGGAUUCUGGAAUAUCAUCCCUGCUUCCAUCAGAUUCUUGUAAGUACCUCACUUUGCAGAAGGUAGAACAACAUGACAUUCAAGGAAGUCAGCUGUGUUGCCCAAGAGUAAGAGAAGGUAAAAGAAUAAAUGUGUGCCUUUUUCGUGUACAUCCUCUGAGUAGAAUUUUUUGUGGAUUAAAAGACAUUACUUGAAGAAAAAUAAAAGACAGCAUUUGGAGGACCCUCUGAAGAAGAGCAACUUUUCAGACAGGUAGAGUGUGCCUUGCUCCCAAGGAAAAGAGUUCUUGACAAAAACAAAUGGGAAAUAUGGCUACAAGAAAACUGGGAAGACUGCAAGAAUUUGAACAUUUCAUUUCAGGAUUUGGGGGAUCCUUACCAAGUUGAAGAUUUUAACAGAAUUCUUAGAAGACUAAUUCGAGUUGAAACCCUCUGGUUAGUGGAUAAUUCACUGCUGGACUUAAGUGUCAUAAGAUUGCCAAGAGUAUUCUCCUGUUUGCCAAACUUAAAAAUGCUGGAUGGAAUCUUGAAGCUACCAGAAGAUUGCUCAUCACCAGAAACCAAUAUUUUUUCAAAAAUAUGCCUAGUAUCCUAAUGCAGUCUGUAUAGAAAGAAAGCAAUCAUCAUUGUUGCUAAAAGCUAAUAAACACAGGAAAUGCAUGAUUAAAUAUUACAGUUUAUUUUAUAUCUUUUUGCUUUUCUAAAUCAAGGCAAAAACAUGCUAACUGACAAGAAAAUCAUAGGUUUUAUACAAGGAUAACAAGUGCUGGGUUGCUUAGCUAUGAGGAAGGCUAGGCUCACUGCAUACCAGAAGGUGCACAGUUUUGGAGAAUGCAGGGAUUUUUAUCAGCAAUCAAACUACAUUUGUGGAAAUUUUGUGCAUAAGUGCCAAAGAAGGUUGACAUCUGACCACAUUCUAUUUAACUCAACUGAAUGACACCAAGCUCUCAUCCUAAAACUUAUAGUUACAUCCACCCUUCUGAAAUAUUUAAUUAUUCUCCAAUACACUGGAGGUAAUAGGUAUAAAAAGAAUGUGCAUGUGCAACUUAGCAUCUCAUAUCUAAUUUUGUGUCCCAAGUUCAUUCUUCCCCUGAAUGUCCCAUGUCUACCAGGUGCAGGAUUAUCUGGAUGGAUCAGGUCAAAACAAUUUCAGGGAAUAAAUUGUGUAGGGGACACAAUUUUCUGAGACAGAAACAUAAUGUGAAUAACUCCUUUGUUAGAAAAUAAUUUCAGUGACAGAAAGCCUUUCAGUUCAUAAAGAAAACUUACAUAUCAACAAGCCUAGUUCCUCACCAGUCCCAAUGAAUGCUUACAUCAAUCAGCUCUACAAUAUCCAGUAAAGGACUUUCCAAUUUGCCUUUGAAUAAACUGAGGUAUUGGAAACAUCU